GACAGAGGUGCCAAGCGUUAGGCGGAAUCACUGGGCUUAAAGCGUGCGCAGGCGGCGCGUUAAGACAGGUGUGAAAGCCCCGAGCUUAACUUGGGAAUUGCGCUUGUGACUGGCGUGCUGGAGUGUGGCAGAGGGAGGUGGAAUUCCACGUGUAGCAGUGAAAUGCGUAGAGAUGUGGAGGAACACCGAUGGCGAAGGCAGCCUCCUGGGCCAGCACUGACGCUCAUGCACGAAAGCGUGGGGAGCAAACAGG
This 253-nucleotide ribosomal RNA is filed under the name uncultured bacterium. Its description in RNAcentral is "partial 16S ribosomal RNA". It matches the Rfam family "Bacterial small subunit ribosomal RNA", at positions 524 to 776 of the family's 1533-position model. The record is from RNAcentral.